Molecule: long non-coding RNA, 1597 nt
Organism: Bos taurus (domestic cattle)
Lineage: Eukaryota; Metazoa; Chordata; Mammalia; Artiodactyla; Bovidae
Source: Ensembl
AGUCUGUACAAAGUCAGACUGUAGAUCCUGAAAGUACCCUCUAACUAGGCUCCAGAAACAGAAAAAAACACUAAAAUUCAAGUGGAACCAUGACAGAUCCCUAACAGCUGAAACAAUCUUAAGAAGAAAGAACAAAGCUGGAGGCAUCGCAGUUCCUUUUUUUGGCCACACCUUGAGACUUUCAGGAUCUUAAUUCCCUGAGCAGGGGCUGGACCCCGGACUUCAGCAGCCAAAGUGCAGAGUCCUAACUACUAGACUGCCAUGAAACUCCGAGCAUCACACUUACUGAUUUAAAACUUGACAGUAAAUCUAUAGCAGUCACACAGCAUGGUACUGGCAUAAAAACUGGGCUUCCCAGCUAGCGCAGCGGUAACGGAUCCGCCUGUCGAUACAGGAGACGCAGGAGACAGGGGUUCAAUCCUCAGCCUGGGAAGAUGCCCUGGAUGAGGAAAUGGCAACUUGCUCCAGUACUCUUGCCUGAAGAAUCUCAUGGACAGAGGAGCCUGGCGGGCUGGGGUCCAAAGGGUCUCGAAGGGUUGGACAGGACUGAGCGAUGAAGCACGCAUGCCAAUGGAGGAGACACGGGGGUCUAUCCCGGGUCUGGGAAGAACCCACACGCUGAGCGGCGGCGAAGCCCGGGCGCCACAACUACUGAGCCUGCGCUCUAGAGCCCGGGAGCCGCAACUGCGGGAGCCCGAGCGCCCAGAGCCGGUGCUCCGCAACAAAGGAAGCCGCUGCGGCGAGAAGCCCGCGCACCGCAACCAGAGAGGAGCCCCCACCUUCUGCAACGAGAGCAGAGAGCACACGCAGCUAAGACGACUCAGCACAGUCAGACAAAUAAACAAGAGAUCUUCCCCAUCCAGGAACUGAAUCCGUGUCUUCUUCACUGUGGGCAGAUGCUUCACCGCCAAGCCUGUGGAUACAGGGAGAAUCUGAGAGGGGCUGAACGGAGGGACGAGACACUGACCUCCCAGAAUCCUUCACUCUGGAAUCCAUCUUGGCUGAGUGAUGGUCACACCACCAGCAAGGACCCUGAGUCAGACCAUCUGUGGGCCAAGCAGGAAGACCGGCCAGAGACAACCCGGACAGGAACCUCACAUACCCUGCUUGCUCUCCGUCGGGCGCCCCUUCCCAAUAAAGGCUCUUGCUUCAUCAGCGCGUGUGUCUUCUCAGACAAUUCAUCACCAAGAGUUAAAUGAGAGCCCACUCACGGGACCUGGAAGGGGCCCGUCCUUCCUGCAAUGCUCAGCCUGAGCCUGGGCUGCAAGGGAGGCUGGGAGAGUGCGUGUCUGGCACUUGGUCUUGUGAGCUGUCCCUACGCCCUCCUCACACCAAGCAGCUGUGGGCUCCUUGAGUGGAAAGCAGAAGUAGAAAACCAAUGAGAUUGUGGAAAUUUCUAAACGAUCUAUCAUUUGGCUUUAGUUUUCUUCCGUUCUCUCAGAUGCCAAUCUUUGCUCCCCAUCCUCUCUUCUCACUUGAGAUCAAAUUAAGCUUUCAAAAGCUAGUCAUUUUUAAUGGGCUGAUUGAGUGACUUCAUUGACUUGAAAGAACUUUCUGCCAACUGCCUUUAAUUGCUUUUUUUCCCCUUUAAAUCAAA